GGGUACUGAAAAAGAAAUUAUCCUCAAUACAUUGCCUUCCUGGAUCUGAACAGGUCAAGAAAGAAGCAAGUUGUUGCUGGAUAAGAUAAUUAUAUGAUAACAUCUUGUAAUUUUUUAAUUUAUGAUUCUACUACCUAGGUAUUAGAUACCGGAAGUCUUUUUAAUAUUUGCAAUUUAUUACAGGGUCUGCAGGUCAGUAGG
Molecule: long non-coding RNA, 201 nt
Filed under: Elaeis guineensis (African oil palm)
Lineage: Eukaryota; Viridiplantae; Streptophyta; Magnoliopsida; Arecales; Arecaceae
Description: long non-coding RNA (EGUI_LNC074143)
Source: RNAcentral